GACGAACGCUGGCGGCGUGCUUAACACAUGCAAGUCGAACGGAAAGGCCCUGCUUUUGUGGGGUGCUCGAGUGGCGAACGGGUGAGUAACACGUGAGUAACCUGCCCUUGACUUUGGGAUAACUUCAGGAAACUGGGGCUAAUACCGGAUAGGAGCCCCUGCUGCAUGGUGGGGGUUGGAAAGUUUCGGCGGUUGGGGAUGGACUCGCGGCUUAUCAGCUUGUUGGUGGGGUAGUGGCUUACCAAGGCUUUGACGGGUAGCCGGCCUGAGAGGGUGACCGGCCACAUUGGGACUGAGAUACGGCCCAGACUCCUACGGGAGGCAGCAGUGGGGAAUAUUGCACAAUGGGCGGAAGCGUGAUGCAGCAACGCCGCGUGCGGGAUGACGGCCUUCGGGUUGUAAACCGCUGUCGCCUGUGACGAAGCGUGAGUGACGGUAAUGGGUAAAGAAGCACCGGCUAACUACGUG
RNAcentral lists this ribosomal RNA (468 nucleotides) under uncultured bacterium. RNAcentral's name for it is "partial 16S ribosomal RNA". It matches the Rfam family "Bacterial small subunit ribosomal RNA", at positions 28 to 507 of the family's 1533-position model. The record is from RNAcentral.